UGAGGAAUAUUGGUCAAUGGGCGCAAGCCUGAACCAGCCAUCCCGCGUGCAGGAAGACGGCCCUAUGGGUUGUAAACUGCUUUUCCAGGGAGAGAAACUUGCGCACGUGUUGCGCAAUUGACGGUACCCUGGGAAUAAGCAUCGGCUAACUCCGCGCCAGCAGCCGCGGUAAUACGGAGGAUGCGAGCGUUAUCCGGAUUCAUUGGGUUUAAAGGGUGCGUAGGCGGACUACUAAGUCAGUGGUGAAAUCCUGCAGCUUAACUGCAGAACUGCCAUUGAUACUGAUAGCCUUGAGUUUGGUUAAGGUAGGCGGAAUGUGUAAUGUAGCGGUGAAAUGCUUAGAUAUUACACAGAACACCAAUUGCGUAGGCAGCUUACUGAGCCGACACUGACGCUGAGGCACGAAAGCGUGGGGAUCGAACAG
Molecule: ribosomal RNA, 424 nt
Filed under: uncultured bacterium
Lineage: Bacteria
Description: bacterial SSU rRNA
Rfam family: Bacterial small subunit ribosomal RNA
Source: RNAcentral